Pongo pygmaeus (Bornean orangutan) is the source of this 1172-nucleotide long non-coding RNA. RefSeq lists it as uncharacterized. The transcript is spliced from 3 exons. NCBI's taxonomy places the organism in Eukaryota, Metazoa, Chordata, Mammalia, Primates, Hominidae. The record is from RefSeq and is a predicted model, not a curated record.
UUGCAGUGAGCCGAGAUCGUGCCACUGCACUCCAGCCUGGGCAACAAGAGCGAAACUCCAUCUCAAAAAAAAAAAAAUUUUGUUUUGAUCAAUGUUGAUACACGUACGCACCCGCAAAACCAUGACCAGGAGCAUCACGACUCCCAAAGCUUCCUCGUGAUUCUUUGGAAUCCCUCCCUACAGCCCCUCCCACCCCACCCCAUCCCAAGCAGCCACUGAUUUGCUGUCACAGUCAGUAGAUUUGUAACUUCCUUAAUACCAUUUCUGAGCCCAGGAGGCAAAUACUUUCUUUAUAUUGGGUAGACCUUUCGUGGCAUGUUCAAGCUUUUGAAUUCAGAGAGUGAGAGAAUGAGAAAGAAAAGGCUGGUCUGGGUCACUCCUGGGAGGCCUGGCCCUAAGCAGAGUAUGGCUCACGUGCCCUGGAGCCCCUGUGCACCGGACAGCCUGACUGCCCUGCUGCAAGCUUUAUAGCUCCCCCGUUACCUUUCCUGGACCAGCUGGUACAAUCUCAAACUUUUCACCAAUUCUGACAUCUAAACAACUAACUCCAGAGACAGGCUCUGUGGAACCAGCAGCUGCGACCUCACCUCCGGUCCCCAAAACACUGAGUUGUUAAACAAAAGAACCACAUCUCUGGGCUGGCUCUGCCCAAGGACACCACAACUUCUCCAUUCCUCAUGCCCUGUCCCCGUGGGGUGCAGGUGGGGCUGGGCCCACGAUGGCAUCGGGCCCACUUUCUCUAAUGCAGGAAGCAUUCCAGAUGCCGGGAGCCAUGGAGAUUGUCCUCAUCCCUAUCAUCUGGCUUGGCGAAUGAUGAUGAAGACAGUUUUCCCACAAGCUAUUUCCAGACUUAUGUUUUGAAGUGUUCAAGAAGCAAUUUAGAAUGCCAGAGACCAUGCAUUAGGACAUUUGAAAAUCUACAAGAAAUUGGAGCAACUUGUUUUUGAAGAAUGAUUCAUGUUAAUAUGGAGCCGUAAAACUAUCUUUGUGAAAGUUGCUGUUCCGAUUGCUUUAUUUUCUUCAUCUUUCCCAAUGAGUACAGCAGUUUUAUGUCUACAUUGGGUUCUUUCUUUGUUUCUCCUAUCAAAACAUUGUAGCUUUAUGAGAACUGUGUUUUGUCUUGUUAUGCUUCUUUACUACACCAAAAUAAAUGCAGAUGAUUUUCUAUUGAC